This 151-nucleotide unclassified non-coding RNA is filed under the name uncultured Ascomycota. RNAcentral's name for it is "sequence contains ITS1". Lineage: Eukaryota; Fungi; Ascomycota. The record is from RNAcentral.
GAGAGUUGCAAGACUCCCACACCAUUGCGAACGCACCCCCCGUCCUUGUCGUUGCCUCGGCGGGGGUGGCCCCCCGCGGGCCGCCUCCGCCGCCGGCACGAGAACCUCUGUUUUUUUGUGGCCUCUCUGAGUACCAUAGACAAAUAAGUCA